This 466-nucleotide ribosomal RNA is filed under the name uncultured bacterium. RNAcentral describes it as "partial 16S ribosomal RNA". It matches the Rfam family "Bacterial small subunit ribosomal RNA", at positions 28 to 507 of the family's 1533-position model. The record is from RNAcentral.
GAUGAACGCUGGCGGCGUGCUUAACACAUGCAAGUCGAACGGAAAGGCUCCUGCUUGCAGGGGUACUCGAGUGGCGAACGGGUGAGUAACACGUGGGUGAUCUGCCCUGCACUUCGGGAUAAGCCUGGGAAACUGGGUCUAAUACCGGAUAGGACGAUGGUUUGGAUGCCAUUGUGGAAAGCUUUUCGGUGUGGGAUGAGCUCGCGGCCUAUCAGCUUGUUGGUGGGGUAAUGGCCUACCAAGGCGUCGACGGGUAGCCGGCCUGAGAGGGUGUACGGCCACAUUGGGACUGAGAUGCGGCCCAGACUCCUACGGGAGGCAGCAGUGGGGAAUAUUGCUCAAUGGGCGCAAGCCUGAUGCAGCGACGCCGCGUGGGGGAUGACGGCCUUCGGGUUGUAAACUCCUUUCGCUAGGGACGAAGCGUUUUGUGACGGUACCUGGAGAAGAAGCACCGGCUAACUACGUG